RNAcentral lists this long non-coding RNA (648 nucleotides) under Rattus norvegicus (Norway rat). Its description in RNAcentral is "long non-coding RNA NONRATT017688". The record is from RNAcentral. Lineage: Eukaryota; Metazoa; Chordata; Mammalia; Rodentia; Muridae.
GUGCCAACCUUACGGCUCUGAAGGUCUCUGAACCCUGUGCUGGAAGCUUCUCAAACAAGAUCCCCUACAACUCUUUUUAAUCUGAUAAAACAACUACAGAGAGGAAUCUUGAUCUGCCCAGAAAAGCUUUAGAAGCUGCCUCAGAAAGAAACUUCGAACUGAAGGGAUACGCCUUCGGGGCAGCCAAGGAACAGCAGAGAUGUCCCCAGAUCGUGCGCGUGGGGCUCGUUCAGAACAGAAUCCCGCUCCCCACUUCCCACGAAGGUCGAGCGGGAGGGGGGAAAAUAUUUACCAGAUGAGAUUAGAUAGGACUUAAAUACUUUCGUUAUUGUCGGGUUCACUUCCAUUCAAGUUUGUAGGUUCCGAGCUACGAGGGCAUCCUUCCCGGCUUCACUGGUGACAGGCUGCAGCCUGGGGAGGGAUGGUUCGAAGUGACUUCAUGGAAAAUCUGGCAAAUGUCAGAGCUACCACUCCGGGGUGAGGACUAUUUAUCUGCCCUAGACCUUUGCCCUUCCCACUUGCCGUAAUUCAGGGCAAGUUUCAACACAUAGUCUGUCUCAUAGCGUACAGAUUGGUUUCUUUUUUUUCCAGCUAAAAUCUUGUUGUAUGUGAGAUCUGAUCCCAAUUAUAUAAACUGUCCAGAAUAUU